UGGGGGUUAGCAUAAAAGUUAAUGUGUCUUAUUUACACUAAGGAGAUAAAAGUUUUUUACCUUCAU
This 66-nucleotide transfer RNA is filed under the name Panopea globosa. Its description in RNAcentral is "tRNA-Val". Lineage: Eukaryota; Metazoa; Mollusca; Bivalvia; Adapedonta; Hiatellidae. The record is from RNAcentral.